Molecule: ribosomal RNA, 1048 nt
Filed under: uncultured crenarchaeote
Lineage: Archaea; Thermoproteati; Thermoproteota
Description: bacterial SSU rRNA
Rfam family: Archaeal small subunit ribosomal RNA
Source: RNAcentral
ACUAGUGAUUGGGGACGGGGUGCAGCAGGCGCGAAACCUCCACAAUUCACGCAAGUGAGAUGGGGCUACCUCGAGUGCCGCCUGAAGAAGGCGGCUUUUCCAUUGUGUAAUGAGCCGUGGGAAUAAGGGGGGGGCAAGACUGGUGUCAGCCGCCGCGGUAACACCAGCCCCCCGAGUGGUGGGGAUGAUUAUUUGGCCUAAAGCGUCCGUAGCCGGCCCGGUAAAUCUCUCGUUAAAUCCAGCGUCCCAAGCGUUGGGCUGCGAGGGAGACUGCCGGGCUAGAGGGUGGGAGAGGUCAGCGGUAUUCCUGGGGUAGGGGCGAAAUCCAUUGAUCCCAGGAGGACCACCAGUGGCGAAGGCUGCUGACUAGAACACGCCUGACGGUGAGGGACGAAAGCUGGGGUAGCGAAUCGGAUUAGAUACCCGAGUAGUCCCAGCCGUAAACGAUGCAGGCUAGGUGUUGGGGCGGCCACGCGCCGCCUCAGUGCCACAGGGAAGCCAUUAAGCCUGCCGCCUGGGGAGUACGGCCGCAAGGCUGAAACUUAAAGGAAUUGGCGGGGGAGCACCACCAGGCGUGAAGCCUGCGGUUUAAUUGGAGUCAACGCCGGGAACCUUACCGGGAGCGACAGCAGAGUGAAGGCCAGGUUGAAGGUCUUGCCGGACGAGCUGAGAGGAGGUGCAUGGCCGUCGCCAGUUCGUGCCGUGAGGUGUCCUCUUAGGUGAGGUAACGAACGAGACCCGCGCCCCAUGUUGCCAGCAAAUCCUAAAGGGAUGUUGGGCACUCUUGGGGGACCGCAGCCGACAAGGCUGAGGAAGGUGCGGGCAACGGCAGGUCAGUAUGCCCCGAAUCUCCCGGGCCACACGCGGGCUGCAAUGGUAGGGACAGAGGGCUGCCACCCCGAGAGGGGGAGCCAAUCCCUAAACCCUACCUCAGUUGGGAUCGAGGGCUGCAACCCGCCCUCGUGAACAUGGAAUGCCUAGUAACCGCCGGUCAUCAUCCGGCGGUGAAUACGUCCCUGCUCCUUGCACGAAUUCGCCGAAUCCCGCG